CCAAAUAAAUGGAUACAUCCAAAAUUUUGUGGCAAACCCAUCUAAAGAAAUUCAAGAGAAGAUUCACACAAUUUUACAGUUAAACUUCAUCAAGCCAUCAACAUUGCACAACAAAACCAUUUUCCUUUUCCUUCUAUGCUUCCUUUUCCAUGUCCCUACAUAAAUAACAACAAUAGAAGUCCCAAUAUUACCAUUUUACACCAGACAUAGGGAUCCAUCCGAAGAUUUAUUAUAGGAUAACAUAAGAGCAUCAAAUAAAUUUGACUUUACUGCUGUAUAUUUAUUAUUUUAUUCAUCAUCUUUAUCCCAAUUAAAAAUUAAAAAUAUUAAAUAGUACCACUAUAAUUAUUAUAUUAAUUUAUAUGUUAAACUGUGUCAUCAAGUCCCACUCACGUGUCCGUUUCGUUUUAUCUCUUUGUGCAUUGAAAUUAAAAAUUAAAAAUAUUAAAUAAUACCACUAUAAUUAUUAAUAUUAAUUUUUUAUGUUAAAUCGUGUCAUCAACUCCCACUCACUUGUCCGUUUCUUUUUAUCUCUUUGUGCAUUGAAAUUGAAGAAUUGAAAAGGAGAAAACAGAGAGAGAAAUUCAUUCAAAAUUCUCUAUUCAAAUUAAUUCUAAGACAUUUAAUUGUAAAGAUAAAAUUUGGAUGGAAAGAAAAUAAAUUCAGAAAAUUGAAUUGCUUAGAAAUUAUUUUACUGACAUAAUUGUCAAUUACUGUGUUUGAUUGGUAUAAUUUUUCAUGUAAAAAUUGUUGAAAUAAAAGUGUGUGUGUGUGUGUGUAUAUAUAUAUUUGUAUUCAUUUGGCUUUUUUUAAUAUGAAAAUUGUCAAUUAAAGUGAUAGAAUUUACUGAUAUCGAGGAUAGAAUUUGUUUUCAUUGUACAAAAAAAAUAAAAAAAUAAAGAAAAUCAUCUAUCUUUUGGUGUUCGUUUAACUUUAUUUUACAUGGAAAUUGUUAUUAAAGGAUUUUUUUUUUUUUUUUUACAAAUAGGGAUAAAACUCGUUUUCAUUGCCCAAAAAAAUAAAAAAUAAAAAAAAUCGACAGCCUACCUAGAAAAUCAAGAAAAUGCCCACUUUGCAAGAAAAUUAAUUCCAUAGAAAAAAUAUAUGCUAUCAAACAACUAAAAAGUGAAAGUUGGAAUUUGAAUUCCAUUUUCCAUGAAAAAUAAUGGCCAAUCAAACAUGGCCUAUGUCUUCUUUUACAUUUCUAGAGAGAGAAAAUUAAGGCUCAAGACUUUGAUUUUUAAUUUCUCUUGCAUAAACAAAUUAUGAAAAAUUGUUUCGAUACACAAGGAAAAUGAAGAGAGGCUCACAGUCACAGUCAUUAACGACAGCAGGUUACAAGUAUCAAGCUGGCAGUGCGUCGUUGGCCUACGCGAUGGAGGGAGCUUAGAAUCAGAUAGGGUUUGGUAACUCUGGUUUGCUUGUGUG
Molecule: long non-coding RNA, 1428 nt
Filed under: Olea europaea (common olive)
Lineage: Eukaryota; Viridiplantae; Streptophyta; Magnoliopsida; Lamiales; Oleaceae
Description: long non-coding RNA (OEUR_LNC002398)
Source: RNAcentral